GUGAGUAAAAGUCUAACUACCACAUAAAUCAUACCAAACCUUUUGAGAUCAGAUCGAUAAUGGAAGGAAAAAAAAAAAAAGAUUGAAGGGUUACAGUAAAAGAAGACAAAGGGGGUCAUACCCAAAAGCCACUUAAGGGCAUGAUAAUUAUUUUAUACCUUCAGCUCCAAUACUAAAAAUGCAAAUAACUCAAACUAAUUUCUUGUAAUUAGAAAGUUACCAAUUACCAAAUAUUUAUUCAAAAUAAAUAAAAAUACAAUAUAAAAAUAUCAUAGGAAUCAAGUUUAUUUUAGGUAGGUCAUGAUCUUAUUUAUUAGGUAAAGACCCCUCUAAUUAAUUUCUUUGCCUUAAACUUACAAAGUUUCUUAAAACAAGAUUAACAUACUUUUUACUUUUAGCCAUUAAACUAUACAGCUCAACCAAGUGUGUAAGCUAAUUUCUUGUUGCUUUUGGAUAAACUUCACUUUUUCUAUUUUUAGAAUCAUAAAAUAGUAAUAAAUUUUACGUAAAAUAUAAAAGCUUUAUGAGACUUAUAUUGAAAAAGGUUACAUUAAAUUUUAAAACUAUUUGAAAAAAAAAUUAAGGCAUUAAGAAAAAAAAUUUCUAUCUCAAAUUUUAAAAUUUUUUUAAAAGUGAUUUUUAAAGAUAUAAGAUAAAUUUACAUUUUUUUCGUAUAAAAUAUUCUAUUUUUUAUACAGAAGUUUUAAUUUUAAAAACAAGAAGCAAAAAUUGUAUUAAUUCCAUGUGUUAAUGGUUUAUAAUGCUUUCAUUCUAUGUGGUUUGUAGAGCCGUAAGAGGUGAGGUUAUGUUGUAUCCUCUCCAUGUUAAAAGCUCUUCAAAACAACACUCCUUUCUCCAAAUCCGCUCCCCCGUCUCUAACAAAUUAAUCCAUGGGUUCGUUUGCUGAUGGUGCUGAUCAUGCAAUGGUUAAUUUGAAUGGAGAUAUAAUAUAUUUUUUUUCACUUAUUUAUUUUUUGUAAUUCUUGUGGAAUAAAAUAAUUUCUUUUUAAGUUGACCGUUUACGCAUAUAAUUGACAAUGUAAAGAAGCCCAUGACCUACUUAUGCUACAAAUACUUUCCUGAAAAUAUUAAGACAAAAAAGCUACACUUCUUGUAAUAGGGACACCAACCCGAACUGGUUAUUACCUCCCGAACAAUGACAACUUUGGACUAUUAAGUUAAAACUCAUACUUGUUUCAAGGGUUACCCCCUAAACUAAACUAUUGACUCGUCAUUUGACUAUAAAUACGGAUCAUAACUUCAUUAUAAGUUUCUUUAUUAUUUUUUAUUUUUUAUUUUUUAGACGAUAAGGAAAUUAUUAUAAAUUUUAUUUUCAUAUUGAAUCAUUAUUAAUUAGUUUUAUUAUUAAAGAAAGGUAGUUCUAAAUAUCUAUUUUUCAAACAUAUGAGAGAUCAUUCACAUUGCAUUUUAGGAUCUAGCAUUAAUUAGAUAUAUUUUUAAUAUAAAUAAAUUUUAUGUAACAAUAGAAUAUUUUGUACAAAAAUAUAUUUUUUAUUUUAUAUCUUUCAAAAACUUUAAAAUUACGUAUGGCAAAAAAUAUUUUUUGAUACUUCAAUAUUUUUAGACAAUUUUAAAAUCAUAAUAUUUUUUAUGUAAAUUUAAAAAAAAAUCUUAUAUCUUAUAUAAAAGCUAUUAUUGUAUUUUAACUUUAAAAACAAAAAAUAUAAAGUAUAUUGAGAUAUACACUUCCCUUUAAUAUUAAUUACUUGUAUAUAUCAAGAAGUCUUCCACAGCUUGUAAAGGAAUUUAGACUUAUAAUAGGACGGACAAUCUAGUUUCUAUCUUAUUCUGGUGGCCACUCAAUUCAACCGGUGAACAUUAUGAUAAAUCAUUAUUACAAUAUCGACUUCUCCUCCAAUGACAACCCGCCUCCGAAAGGAUGAUGUGUUUCUUUAAAGACCACUUGUUUUUUAAUCUCUGGUUGGUCGGGGUUGUUAGGUCCCAGAUGUAGACGGCAUCAAAUUAGGUCCAGUUAUAGAAAAUUUGGAGAGAUUGAAGUCCUUGGCCUAUUUUAGAUCCACAUAGGGUCAGGGCUAACUUGAGUUGAAAUGUUACAUGGCCCCAUCUUGUUAUAAAAAUUUAUAAUAUUCAUUUAUUUAUAAAUUAUAUUUAUUUUUAUAUAUUAAAAAAAUAAAAAAACUUAAACAUUUUAGAAAUGACAUUUCUAUACAAACCUCACCACCCCUAUUUAAUUUAUCAUUUUUGCUAAAAUAGAUAUAAAUAAAUAUGAUCAGUUAUAACAGAACACCUAUCUUACUGUCAUCUCUACACAAAUCUUUUAAGAAUCUUUAAAGAAUGGUGAAUAAAUAGCCUUUUCGAAUCCUCAUAAUAUCAAGUUUUGACUUGUGAUGUAUUUUUUUCCUUCAUCAAACGAUAAAUUAUAAGAUAUUUUAUAUUACUCCAAUGACUCAAAUUAUGAAGAUUGUGUUAGUAUUGUUGAUUUUCUUUAAUCUAUUAGAAUUAUUUUAAUAACCUAAUAGUGAUUGAAUGAGUCUUUACUUUAAUUUAUUAGGAUUUCGAAUUGUUAUUUUAUUAUUAGGCUAUUAUAAUUUUCUAUAUGCCAUGAAGAAUAAUUAAAACAUAUAUAAAAUAUCCUUCUCAUAAAAAUAAAAAAAUAUUUUACAUGUUACACUUGGUAUCAAAGAUAAUUUAAAACACAAACCAAUAAUAAGACAAUCCAACCCCAAUUUCUAAAUUUUGGUAAAAAAAAAACAUAAUUUUAAAAUUUUGGAGGAUUCAUAUGCAACUGUUAUUUCAAUAUCAAGAUCUUUGAGGUGUUCUUGAUCAAGAAUUUGGGAUAUCAACGAAUUAAGCAAAACUCACACAAAUAUUAAAGAUAGUUGGACAAAUUUUAGAGAAAAAGAACAAGAUUUAAAGGCUCCUCUUUAUAGCUACUAAUUGAUAGAAGUACUUAUAUUUUUUAAAAGAUUCUGAAUGUAAAUACAACAAAAGAUGUCUAUGAUGUCCUCAUUAAUAAUAGUAAAUGAGGACAAAUGUGAAAGAAAUCCAACAACAAAUCUUUGAAAAGUCAAUGUAGGCUAUACUAAAUAGAGAAAAUAUUUAGAGUUUUUCAUAGACAUUAUUUUUUGGUAAUUAGAUGAAAACUAAUAGCCACAAAAUCCAAAUUUCUAAGUUAUGGAGAUAUUUAAAAAAAAAAAAUCUAAUCAUAUGGUUGAGUGCAACAUGAUAACCUUUAAAGAAUUGAAAGAGCUUAAUACCAUGAUAUUAUAGGUUUCUUGCAAGCCCAUGGAUAAUAGUUGGAUUAAAACUCUCAAAUCAAGGUGAAAGCAUUACAAAGCUAAAUUGUCUUACAAGGUAAAAAACAAAGUGUUAAGAUAAUCUUGAAUCGAGUAAUGAAGGUCAAAAUUUAUACAACAAGGAACAAUGAAAUUUCGUAUCAUGUUAGAAAUGAGGAAAAGAUAGUGAUUCAAUUCAAACAACAAUAAAUAUCAUAUUCAAUGUUAGACUUGUAAAAUAUAUGAUCAUUACAAAUCCAAGCAUAAAGCUAAAAAACCAAAUAAGAGAAAAUUUUAGAGUAAUGAGAUAAAAUUGAAAUUUUUUUAAUGCACAUUAUAUUAAUUAUAUGUGUAGUACUAAGGAGAUGAGUCGUUUUACUUUUGAGGUGAACCUUGGGAAAUGAUAUAAUAAUGCUAUUACGUUUGAUUGCAUAGUCGUUUUACAACAUUUCCAAAAAAAUUUACUAAGAAAUAUAAAGUAUACACUUCGAAAUUUUUAAGAAAAAUGAAGAGUUAUUUUAAAAUGUUUGAUAGUAAAAUUAUGGUACAGGUAGACUGGUGGCAGGGAACACUAUUUCUUUGUGGGCUGGGGCAAGAACCUCUUGGCUAGAGAUUCUACCUCUCCGCACACCAGCUUAUAUGAACUACUUUUUGGCAUUGAUUGACGACAUUUGCUUUAUGGGGAAAAAAAUUUAUGAGCAGAGCCAUCUCAAAACUUUGGAUAUUCAACUGGACGUGAGAAAAAGAGUAUACAAUUAUUCAAAGUUGACGAGCUAUUCAUUGGGGAUUGCCCUCCCCUAAAUUCCUUCCCACGUUUAUCAAAUGGUAAUUGAUCACAAAAAGGUUCAAUUCAUUCACAAAUAUGACUCUUCUCUAGUCAAUUGGGAGUGGCGCUCAGCCAUACUCAUUUUAAUCAGAAUUGAAUCUCCUCAUCCCACAGUUCCACGAGAGACCUGUAGGGGCCUUCAUCGCUAAUGAAUUCCAGAGCUGGAACCCCUUUAAAUUGCUGAAUUUGAUCUAUUUUCUGUAUAUCCUCCGCUGUUAGCUCCCAAUCGAAUAUCGCUAGAUUCUCUUUCAUUCUUUCCUUGUUGAAACUCUUCACGACAACACUCACACCUUGUUCGUAUAUCCACCUCAAACAAACCUUCAAAAUCAACACGACCAAAUUCAAAUUGUGGCAAAAACAAUCACCACCAAGUUAAACAAAUCAGUUUUUUUUUUUUUUUGAAAAAAUAAAUUAUGAUCAUGGAGGCCAAGAAAAAAGCACAUUGGAUACCCAGACUUUGUGGGGUAGCUUUUGGAUUCUCAAUCAACACAUACUAUAUCUCCACCGCAACAUUUAAGAAAAAGCAUAUCUUUAUGUCAUUGGUUUUGCAUUAACAGAAGCAGUCCCAUCAAGAUAUGAAAAAGGAAAAAAGAUAGACAAAAUAAAAUAAAAUCUACCAUCAAUUGAUGCAUCCAGUAAAUAUGAAUUGCGAAAAAGGGUCAACUUGUUAGUGAGUUUCAGCCGAACCAGUUAUUCCUAAUUGGAAAAUUUGGAAGGAACUGAUGUAGAAGAAAGCAAGAAGCUGUUGGAUUAUGUCCUUUCAAUCUUUAUGGCAGCACUUCUAUUAUAUACUUAAAAAUGGCAAUUUUUAUGGCUCGAGAAUUUUACCUGAGCAAUCGUUUUGCCUCUUGCUUGGGCAAUUUCUUUCAGGACUUGACAUUCCAUAACUCUGUCACCUCCCCACGGUGUUCCUCUGGCACCCAAAGGAGAGUAGGCCGUGAUGUGGAUUCCUUUCUCUGUACAGAACUCCCUAAGCUUCUUCUGCUGCCAAAGUGGGUUCAUCUCCACCUUCCCAAACAGUUGUUAUGAUUAGUGGUUUUUUUCUUAAAAAGAUUAGUCGAUUUGUUUAUUUCUUGAUACACCCAUGCUUCUCAUCUUAUAAAAAGUUCAACUAUAUGAAAGGAAAAUUCAAUGUUACUGAAGCACAACACUUCCGGCAGAGCUGCCUGAAAUGAAACACUCACUUGAUUGACGGCCGGAGGGAUUGUGGCUAUGCGGAGCAAGUCAUCAAGCUUUUUGCUUGAGAAGUUGCUUACACCUAUUGCUUUGGUGAGACCGAGCUUCUGACAGUCUUCCAGGUCUUUCCAAACGGACGCAUAAUCCAUGGGGAGAAGGUCCUCCUUCUUCACGGGAAACUCAAAAUUUCCAGGCUUCAUGCUUAGUGGCCAAUGAAUGAGAUAGAGAUCAAGGUACUCCAGUUCAAGAUUCCUACAUAAACCAAACCCAAAAUGAAAAAUUAAUAGAGAAGAAAGAUCAAAUAUGCGAAGUAAUUGAUGGUAUAGCUAGAGAAAAGAAUAUGAUAAGAAGUGUUUGGUUUAUUACUUGAGUGUUUGUUGCAGUGUAGGAAGGACGCAGUGGGGGUGUGCUUUGUUUCCCCAAAGCUUUGACGUGACAAAAAGCUCAUCCCGCGAAUUAAUGAGCCCAAUCUGUAAAGCCUUUUUUAUGGCUUCACCAAGGGGUUUCUCGGAGUUGUAAACAGAAGCUGUGUCGAAGUGUCGAUAGCCAACCUUUAUUGCAUGGAGAACAGAGUCUUUCGUUUCCGAAGGGGCAGAACGAUACACAGCUGUGCCCAUGCCCACCAGAGGUAUGGCUUUUCCUGUUGAUCCCAGGGCCUUCUCCGGAAUGCUUCCCAUUUUCUCUACUCUAUCUCGUGAAAAUUAUCACUUCCUCUGAGAUCUAUAUAUAUAGGCAUAUAAUUCCCAAACCAUCAGUAUCCGUUCCUAUCACAUACUAGCAGCGCAUCAGUCUUAAAAAUUAAUCAAUACUUACCGUUGAAUGACCAACACUAUCUGACGACCGCAGUGAUCUCACACAUUUUGGAUUAUUCAUACAUGGCCGCUAAGUCACCACAGCAGUUGCAAUCCUGUUAGGCGCAAUGACCAUUUUAUUUUCUCUUUCGUACGUAGGUGGCCUUUUAUGUUGGGCGCCCUCGUAUGUGAGGGAGUAGGCCCAUAUGUUGGGAUCAAGUCAGUUACAUUAAAAAAAACCGGAGACAAGAGAAGAGAAGAAAAAUGCUAUUUGCUCAAAUUUCAUCAAUAAGUCGAUCUCGCUUCAUCUGUUGUCUAAUCAAAUUAAAAUUUGGAGGAAAGGUUUAAAACUCAAGUAUCUACAAUUUGAACGGUGGAGAUCAGAUUUUGAAUUCGAAAAAUUGAUGUUAUUGCCCAUAAACAGUAACGACGUUUUUAGUAUACUUCCUCUAAUUUUUCUUUAUUUUUGUCAAAAGAAAUUAUAUAAUCCAAGGCUAUAUGUGAUUUUGAUGUAUUUGAUAAUCUUUAAAUAUUAUUCUAAAAAAGACAGAUGUAACUCAUUAUUGUUAAUAAUGGAUGUUUGAAUUGGAAUAAAUCCCGUAAUUUUUUCUUUCAAAUUGGGGGGUUUUCCAUGUAAAAAUUUUGAUGUCUAAUUUAUUUUCUUGUUACAUGAAUUUAUUUAUUUAUUACUGUUAAUUGAUAUUGCCUAUUUAGUUUUACCUAAAGAAAUGAUAGAAAAAUUACGAUGUUUAUUGAAAUGAUAGAAAAAUUACGAUGUUUAUUGAAAUACUGUCAAUUCACCCUAACAUUUUAAUUGCUUAGUUUAUUCAGAAAAAGUUCACGGCUUUACUUGCAUUGCACAGAACACUCAAUCAUUUUGUCAUCGGCCCCACCCCAUAAUAAUAAUAAUAAUAACCAAUGCUCAUUACAUUUCCAACUUGUAAGUGGACGGAGUCAAGAUUAAGAGAAAGUGAUGUAUCAGAUACUGGCUCCGGGUUGAAGAUACAACGAUCCACCUCCUCAGCUAGUAUUGGAAAAUCAUGAAAGCUUUUAAAUGGCCGUAAUAAAGUGGAGAUAAAUGAUGAUUCCUUGCACGUUUAUGUAUAAAAUUUAUUUUUAAAAAAAGCAUUAACCACACCUACCAAAAAUCUUUUUAUUCAAAAUCUUUCUAAAAAAAUAAAUAUAUAUUAAAUAAUGAAAUAAUUGUGUUUUGAAUCUAAUUGAGCCCAAAAAUUAAGAUUUGGUCCAUAAAAAUUGUAUAAUUGAUGAAAAAGAUAUAAAAUGUGAAGAGACCAAUAUACCAUUCAAAACUAUUUUGAGUAUUUUUUAUCACAAUGUUUGAUAAACUUUUUUAUCUUAAUUUUUUUUAAUAAUUAUUUUGAAAAUUUAUUAUUUUUAGAAAACUAUUUUUUAAAAAAAAUAUAUUCUAAAAAUAUAUCAUUUAAAAAAAUAAUUUUGACAUACUUUUAGUUAUUUUUUAUAUACAUAAUUUUAAAUAUAUAUUUUCCAAGAUGUUUAAUUUUUAAAUAAUAAUAAUAAUUUAUUUUUAUUUUUUUGGAAAAUGAUGUAUUUUUUUCCAAAUCACUAAAUUAAAUUAAAUUUUAUUAAGGUUUAUAAAAGGAAUAAAAUUUAAAUUAAUGUUUUUCUACUCUUUUUUUUUUCAUAGUCAAUAAAUAUCAUUUUUGAAAAGAUAAAAAGUUCAUAUCUUUGUUCUCAAUUUUCACACUUUCUCUAAGUCUUGGGCUUAAAUGGUGAACUUAUAUGGACCAAAACUUAAUUUUUAGGCCCAAUUAGAUCCAAAACACAAUUGUCCCUUGAAUAAUUUAUUAAAGUAUCAAUCCAUGAAAAUCAAUCAUUGUUAAAUGUAUUUACAGCAACAUCUUUAAAAUAUAAAUAUAAUAAUUGGAAUAAAUUUAUUAAAGCCUCAAUUGAUAAAAAUAAACCGUGGUUAGAUGUAUUUAUUCCAAAUCUCUAUGAAUAAAAAUAAUCUUAAUUUUUUUAUGCUUUAAGGGAUUUGAAAAAACAAAAGGAGGUAAAAAAUAAAUGGUAAAGUUGUAUGGGAACAUUGUAAAAUUUUGAUUAGUAGUCACCACAAUGAGAGUUGGUUAGCUUUCCCAAGUAUUGGCCAAGGUGGUUCUUAACUAGGAGGAAUUUAAUUCUGUGUGAUUUUGAAAGUUGGAAUCCAUCUUUAUAAGGUUGUGGAAAUGCUUAGAAACCUAAGAUAUAAUUUGGGUAUAUUUUAUUUGUGAAAAAAUUGAGGUAAAAUAUAAAGGAAAAAAAUAUUGGAAAAAAAGAAAAAAAGAAAAAGUGAAUAAAGAAAAUAAAAUAUAGAAUUAAAGUUAAUACAUUAUUUUUGUAUAUUACUUUAAAUUUAUUUUACCUAUUUUAAUUUUUCUACACAAAAAUUAAAUAAUUUAAAAAUACCUAAAAUUUUAAUUUAUUUUAAUUAUAUUUGAUUUCUUUUAAUAUUUUUUUUAUUUGAUAACUAAACAUAAGAAAAUAAUUUUCCUUAGGAUUUUUUUUUCUUUCCAAUCAAAUAUAACCUUAAUAAAGCUUUUAAAAGCAAUUUUCAAAUAUAUUUUUUAGAAUGGUUCUUUAAAUUAAAUAAUUCUCCAUUAUUUCUUUAUAUACAAUACAAAAGUCGUAAAAUAUUCUCCAUAUUUUCAAUUAUUUCUCAUAAUAUUUUAUAAAAAUAAACAUUCAAUUUAUUCCAAAGAAACAAGAUACUUGUAGAAUAAAUUAUGAAAAAUUUAUUUUCAAUUAAAAAUUUAUUGAAGGUGUUUUUUGAGUUGGAAAUUGUUUUAAAUUAUUUUCAAAAACAAUAUUCAAAUAAGGUCCAAGUGCAUGAACAAUAACAUCAACAUUGAGAUUCAAAAUUAGAAAUUUGAUAUUGAGUAUUAAUUUAGUUCUGACAUUAAUAAAAAUUCAAGGAGCUUUCUAAGGAUUGCAAAGGAUGAUGUGAAAAUAACCCGCACAUUUGGAAAUUAUAAGUAUUAUAACUAAAUGUUAAAAAUAAAACAAAUUUAUUGGAAGGCAAUUGGCCACAUAAUAUGAAAAUAUCGUUUCAUGUGCACAAUUCCAUUCCCAAUAACAAUUUUAAUCAUACUUAACAAAAUAAUUAAAAUAAAAUUUAAGAGUUUUCUAUAUAUAUAUAUAUAUAUAUAUAGUAGAAUUGUUUUAGACCAAAAAAUAUUUUACAACCACCCAUAUUUUAUAUAUAAUAUAGAGUAUAGGUAUAGAUUUUUUCCCUUUUGAAAUUAUAUUUAAUCAACAGCUAUAUUAAUAAUCAAAAUAGUUAACAUAUUUUAAAAAAAAAUGUUGAAUAAACUUUAGCAAUAUGUUUGAAAAAAAAAAUAUUAAUAUUCAAUUUUUUUUUAAAAAAAUUAUAAUUAUAAUUCAUAUUGAAAAAAAUAAGGUUAAUUGAAGAGUUAUGCUCAAACAUUUUUAGCAAUUAUAUUUAUUUUUCAAUGGUACUCUUUCAAAAAAAAUUUAUUCUCAUGCAUUACUAAGUUAAAAUAUAUUAAAAGAAAUAAAUCUUUAGGCCAAUCUUUAUAUAGAGAGUUUCCUAUUAGUACUUGAAUUUAACUUUAAAAAUUUUAAACAUUUAAAUAAUAAAUUUGUUGUAUACUUCCAACCCAUUUAAUAUUUAUUAACAUUUUACAAGUCUUAUUUAUGGUGAACCAAAAAUUGUUUUUAAUAUUCAUUAAUGAUUUAGUUUAAAACCCUAUUUUUAUUUUACGAAAAAAAUAAAAAAAUUGAGAUCAAAUAUUUGUAAAAUAUCUAUAGAAACUACUAAUACUGGAAGCAUCAUUACCUACAUUGUAAUUAUUUAUUAUUCCCAUAUAUUUAUAUAUAAAUAGUUUUAUAACUCCUAUUGAUUUAUUCUUUUUACUUCUCAAUAAUUAUUACCUACUUUGCAAAAAUAUUCUUCUCUGAAAUUCUUUCUUUUCUCUUACUAUAUGGGCAAACAAAAAAAUAUUUAUUAUUCCUCCCACCAGUCUUUCUCUUCAAUUUUUUCAUUGUUGUCUCAAUGUUUAAAUACACUCCAAUUGUCUUAAAAAAAACUGUGAUAAAAAACCAAUAUUUAACUUACAAGAUGAAUCCAAAAUGUACUAUGAUGCUACACAUAGGUAUCAUGAACAAUAUGAGACUAGACCUAAGGACAUAUGAAACUCCUUUUACUAAAAAAGAAUCAAUCAAAGCCUCAUACAUUACCUACCUCCUUUUACUAAAAAGGAAUCAAUCGAAAAACAUUCUCUACCUAAUCAUUGGGAUGGUAUAAAGUUUGCUAUGGAAUAAAAGAUUAAACCAAGAAAAGUGAAUUUUUUUUUUUUUCAUGUAGCUUGUGAGCUUGAACUAGUAGAGGGAUGACCUAUUUUUGAUAUGUCCAAAGUGAAUUGUUACAUUAUUAAUACAUAUCAAUAAAUUUAAAUCUUUAUAAUGCAAGACACAAGAGAAAGGAUUGUGGUUAAGGAAGGUUGGACUUCAAGAAGUGCAAAAACAAAUGAAGUUCUCCAUAAAAAAUUUAAAAUAAUAGAAGCUAACAGAAAAUGUUUAAGUAACUCUAAGUUGUUGUCAUCGGGUUUUCCUAUGAUAGAUAACUAUGUUUUUACACAUAUUUUUCAUGCAUGUACUCUAGCCUUAAUGAUUUAUUUUUUGUUGAAUUUUAGUGUAAUUAAUUUUCAUGUUAUUGAUUCUUCUCUUUUUCUAUCUUAAAGAAAAAAAAUUAUAUUUGUGUAUAAAAGAGAAAUAAUAGAGUCAUGACUCAUUUUAAACCAUUUUUAAUAUAUUAUUUUUUGGUACAUAGUUCUGUUUUUGAGUUUCAAUUAUUUUCAAAAAUUGCUAUACUCGUUCAAAAAAAUCUAAAACCUUAAAUUUCACUUGAUUUAAAGAGUAUGAUUUUAUCUCAUCCCAUCCAUAUUAUAUAUAAUAUUAAAUAAAAAAUAUUUUAUUUUAUAUAGACAUAUAGUAAAAGAAAUAUUUUCAUAAAAAUAAAGUAUACAAAUUUAUAAUAUUAAUUUAUUUAUAAAUAAUAUUUAUUUUUUAUAUAUUAAAAAUAAAAAAAUGUUUUUUUUAAAACCGAACUAGUGAUCAAAUCGAAAAAAUUAUCAAUUCACAGUUCACAAGUCGAAUCCGUGACAUUAUAAAUAUAUAUUUUAUAUAUUAUUAAAAUUAAAAAUAAUUAUAAAAAAUAAAAAUAAUAAAUUCUACUAAGUCAUCCUAUAUCAUAUUUCUAAUACAAUGAUAAUAUAAAUCAAUAUAACACUUUUAUCAAAAAAUUACUAUCCUAUAUCCACAAAUGCUCAAUAAACUAACAAUGAUAAAAAUUAUUUAAAAAUUAGAAAAUUAGUUUCAAAUAAUAAAUUUAGAUUAAAAUAGGAAUUUUAAUUUAAAAUUAGAAAGAUUAAUUUAAAAUUUAAAAUUUUAUUUUUAAAUCAUAAACUUAUUUUAAAAUAAAAAAUUAUUUAUUUAAAAUAUAAGGACACUUUAUUUUCAAAAAUUUAUUUAAUAUUUUCAUUAAUUUAGAUUAAAAGCAUAAAUUUUAAAAAUCAUAAAGUCAAAAGAAUUACAAAUGUAAAAAUUACAAUAAAUAAGGAAACGAGGAAAUAAGGUAAUAGAGUAAAAGAUCUAAAUCAUAAAGUCAAAAGAAUUACAAAUCUAAAAAUUAAGGUAAAUAAGGAAAUAAGGUAAUAGAAUAAAAGAAAUAAACAAAAAUCGGACUUAUGCCCGUCGGAGCGGCCUCGUAGGUCGGCGAUGUCGCGUUGGCUGGGCUGGAGGUGGGAGUUUGACGGGAGCAAUAGCACGCGAGCUGGAAAUGGUGGGGUUGGUUUGUGGAGUCCGGUGGACUGUUUUGGUGUGGGAGGGGGCUACGAUUGCGGAGGGGAGAACGAGCUGCGAGGCAACGACUGAGGGGUGGUUUGUGGAGUCUUGUGGACUGUUUUGCUGUGGGCAGGGCAACAACUGUUUUGGGGAGGGGGGUGGUGUGGAGGGGAGAGAACGGGCUGGAAAAAGUGGGCGGGGCAACGAUUAUGGGAGAGGGAAAACAGGUUGGAAGAACGAAAAAGAAAGGGAAGGCAAAAAACAAAAAGUAAAAUUUUCAUUUCAACCGUUCUAUUCAUCAAAAACCACAAAAACCAAUCGGGUCAACUGGAUCACCGAUUUGACUGUCGGUAGUCGGUACCAGUGAUUUGAGGCUGGUUUAGAGGCUGGCCGGUUCAAAAGGGUGAAUCGAGACCGGACUGGUGACCAACUGACAGUCAGAUAAGUUGGACCCGUUGAUCCGAUCCGAUUUUUAAAACGCUAAAAAAAAUUCACAACAUUUUCAAAAAAUUACAAAGAAAUAUAAAAGAUACACUAAGAAAUUUUUAAGAAAAAUGAGGAGCUAUUUUAAAAUAUUUGAUAAUAAAAGUAUGGUACAGGUAGAGUGGUGGCUGGGAGAACUAUUUCUGUGCUAAAGGGGAACCUCUUGGCUAGAUAUUCCACCUCUCCUAGCACCGGCUUAUAUGAGCUAUUUUUUGGCAUUGAUUGACGACAUUUGCUUUAUGGGGAAAAAAAUUUAUGAGCAGAGCCAUAUGAAAAUUAUGGAUGUUCAAUUAGCUGUGAGAAAAAGAGCACACAAUCAUUCAAAGGUGACGAGCUAUUCAUUGGGGAUAGCCCUCCUCUAAAUUUCUUCCCAAUUUUAUCAAAUAGUAAUUGAUCGAUCACAAAAGGUUCAAUUCAUUCACAAAUAUAACUAGCUAUUUUCAAGUCAAUUGGGAGUGGUGCUCAGCCAUGCUCAUUUUAAUCAGAAUUGAAUUUCCUCAUCCCACAGCUCCACAACAGACUUGUAGGGGCCUUCAUCGCUAAUGAAUUCCAGGCCUGGAACCCCUUUAAAUUGCUGAAUUUGAUCUAUUUUCUGUAUAUCCUCCACACUUAGCUCCCAAUCGAAUAUCUCUAGAUUCUCUUUCAUUCUUUCCUUGUUGAAACUCUUCACGAUAACACUCACACCUUGUUCGUAUAUCCACCUCAAACAAACCUUCAAAAUCAACACGAGAAAAUUCGGAUUGUGGCAAAAACAAUCACCACCAAGAUAAACAAAUCAUUUUUUUUUAAUUUUUUUUUGUCUUUUAAAUAAAUUUUGAACAUGAAGGCCAAGAAAAGCACAUUGGAUACUGUGACUUUGUGGGGUAGCUCUCGGAUUCUCGGUCAACAUACAAUAUAUCUCCACUACAAUAUUUAAGUAAAAGCAGUCACAUCAUUAUAUGAAAAAGGAUAAAAGAAAGAAAAAUUAAAUCAAACCCUACAAUCAAUGGUGCAUCCACUAACUAAGAAAUUGCAAACAAGGGUCAACUUGAUUAGUGAGUUUCAGCCGAACGAGUUAUUCCUAAUUGAAAAUUUUGGAAGGAACUGAUGUAGAAGCUAGAAAGCAAGAUGCUGUUGGAUUAUGUCCUUUCAAUCUUUGUAACGGCACUUUUACUAUAUACUUGAAACAAGCAAUUUUUAAGGCUCAAGAGAAUUUUACCUGAGCAAUCGUUUUGCCUCUUGCUUGGGCAAUUUCUUUCAGGACUUGACAUUCCAUAACUCUGUCACCUCCCCACGGUGUUCCUCUGGCACCCAAAGGAGAGUAGGCCGUGAUGUGGAUUCCUUUCUCUG
This 13682-nucleotide long non-coding RNA is filed under the name Vitis vinifera (wine grape). RNAcentral's name for it is "long non-coding RNA (VVIN_LNC000098)". Lineage: Eukaryota; Viridiplantae; Streptophyta; Magnoliopsida; Vitales; Vitaceae. The record is from RNAcentral.